Molecule: transfer RNA, 73 nt
Filed under: Acidobacteriota bacterium
Lineage: Bacteria; Pseudomonadati; Acidobacteriota
Also listed under: 1 other name
Description: Acidobacteria bacterium tRNA-Lys
Rfam family: tRNA
About the family: Transfer RNA (tRNA) molecules are approximately 80 nucleotides in length. Their secondary structure includes four short double-helical elements and three loops (D, anti-codon, and T loops).
Source: RNAcentral
GGGCCGUUAGCUCAGUUGGUAGAGCAUCCGGCUUUUAACCGGAGGGUCGCAGGUUCGAACCCUGCACGGCCCA